Molecule: long non-coding RNA, 3405 nt
Organism: Serinus canaria (Common canary)
Lineage: Eukaryota; Metazoa; Chordata; Aves; Passeriformes; Fringillidae
Exons: 3
Source: RefSeq, a predicted model, not a curated record
GAUCACAGCCCUCAUGGAGCUGGAAACAUGAAGAAUUAUAACCCUCCCCUUCCUUCCAUUGCAAUGGAAAAGGAGGCUGUUUAUUAGCUUCAGAUGUAUGGAAGAGGAGAGCUAGAUGAUGUAGAAGUUCUCAAGCUAAGAGUGUAGCUGUUAUGAGCACUGCCAGAAGCAAAGCUCAAAUGACUCUAACUAAAUCCCCUUGGAUGUGAGAAAGAUCAGUGUCAGACACCUCCAGUUCCAGCAGCUCCAUUCAGUUAAGUCACACUUUGCAUAAAAAACAUCCUGCAUUUGUGUACAUCCUGGUGGUACAGCACAUGGUACAGAAAAAUGUCUAAUUUGUAAUUGUUAAUUUAAAAAAGCUGCAGAUUUCAGGAUCUACAGAGCCUCCAGACACAUACAAACAAAAUUAAUGUCGUACUUUCCACCUUUUUACUCAAAGUACAAAUUAUAAAGCUCAGGCUGAACUGGUUCAGAUAAAGCAUCAGGGUAUCAUCUACUUUAUUUAUAAAUCUGAUAGCUGAGUUCCUGAUACAGAUACUUGAAUAAAGUUAAUUGAAAAACAUUCUCAUUCUUUAAUUUGAAACCUGCAUAGUCAAAAAACAUCUUUCCAAGAUUUUUUCUUGAUAAAAAAAUUAACCCGAAAUAUUUGGGGAAACAAAAUGCAAGAUGAAGAUUUGAAAAUUAUCAAAAUUAAUGGAGCCCAUAUUUAAUGUUGGGGUGGGUUAACCCUGGCCUGAUGCAGGUACCAACCAAAGCUGCUCUAUCAUUUCCCUCUUCAACUAUACGAAGCAGAGAAAAUAAAAGGUUCAUGGGCCAGGGAGAGUUCACUAAUCAAUUACACAAAAACCCCAGCCUUGACUUGGGAAAGUUAAUUAAACUUAUUAACAAUCAAAUCAGAGUAUGAUAAUAGAGGUAAAACAAGAAACCACCUUCCACCCACCCCUCUCUUCCAGGCACAACAUUACCCAGGAUUCUCUAUCUCCUGCCCUGCAGUGGAGAAGGGGGACAGGGAAUGGGGUCUGUGGUCAGUUCAUCACACAUUGUCUCUGCUGCCUCUUCCUACUUGGGGGGAGGACUCCUCAUACUCUUCCCUUGCUCCCAAUGGGGUCCCUCCCAUGGGAAUCAGUCCUCCAUGGACUUCUCCAAGGAGAGUCCUUCCCACAGGCUGCAGUUCAUGAACUGCUCCAGCGUGGGUCCCUCCCAUGGGGUGCAACACAUCAGGAACUGACUGCUCCAGCCUGGGCUCCUCUCUCCACAGGUCCUGCCAAGAGCCUUCCAACAGGGUCACAGCUUCCUUCAGGCAGCCAGCUCUCCUGGCACUGGGUGCUCCAUGGGCUGCAGGUGGAUCUCUGCGCCCCUGUGUGCCUCCACGGGCUGCAGAGGCACAGCUGUCCCACCAUGGGCUGCAGGUGAAUCUCUGCCUGCUCUGCUGCCCGGAGCACCCCCUCCCACCCCUCCUGUGCUGACCUUGGUGAUGCUUUCCCAUAAGUUCUCAUUUCUCUCUUCUCGAAGCACAACUGCUUCUGUGCAGUAACUUCACCUUUUUAAACAUGCUGCCACUGUCUCUGAUGGGCUUGGCCCUGGCCAGUGGCAGGUCCCUCUUGGAGCAUUGACACUUUUGGACACGGGGGAAGCUUCUGGCAGCUUCCCAAAAAAGCCACCCCUGUAGCCGACCCACUGCCAAAGUCUUGCCACAGAAACCCAGUACAAAUAUGAAUACUAGAAGAUUUUUCAUUGAGUCCGAGUUUACAGCUUGUUAACUUUGCUUUUUUAUUUUCUACAUUUAAUUCCAGAUUAAGUCUGUCGCUUGAUCCAACACUGAGAUCUUCAAGCUGUUACAGACUCUGUGUCUCCCUCCCAUGCAAGUGUUGUGGUGUUCCUAACACUUUUCUCCUACUAUUCAUUUUUUCCUUUUUGUCUGUGCUUUGACUGCUCUUCUGACCUGCUCUCUAAUCCUUUCUAAUUGCUCACAUCUUCCUUCCUAGGCAAAGGCUAUAGGUACUUUCAUAUUUCUAUAGAUGCUCAUAAGGUAGGAUUAUGUGGCAUUGUCUGAUUUACCUAAUCAGACUAAGAGAAAAGUAACUGCAGAAAUUAAUCAGAGCAGAAAGCACUGAUCUUGUGUAUGGGUCUUUGAGUAGUGCUUUUUGCACCUCCUGGAAAAAAAAGAUGAAACAUUUCAUUUUGAUUUAUUUACAGGUUUGAAUUUAGAACUCAAAUUCUGAGCAAUUCAAUGAUUUUGUUUUAUUUUCAAUAUUUUAAUCCCUUGUCCCAUAGCAGCAUUCAGAAUGGUAACAGCCAUUUCAACCAAGGAUAUUAAGCAGAUUACUCAUUUAAUGUAGAAUAAGAUAUAAAAUGUAUCAUUACUGAGUAAUAUCUUAAUUGUGCCUGCUCCUAACCAGUGCUGCACUGCCAUCUGUCUCAACUUUCAGCCACUGGUAUUCAGCUGCUUUUCAUCUGAAGGGUAGACACAGCUGGAUAUCAACUCAACAGCCUCAGGUAGGCAAUCUGAUCCCAUGCCUCUUUGUCCUUCUUGCCAUUUGGCAAUUGUGCACUUUUCUUUACAAUACCCAUAUGUUGCUUUGCACAUUUUAGGAUUUCAGCUACCAUGCUUGUUCAAAACACGAAAACUCCAAAAGGGGUUGGAGAAUGAAGAGGAUAUUGAGAAACACCUGAUUUUGCAUUCUGCUAAAGAAAACCACACAGUAGCCAGGAAUAGGAGAGGGACAAGGAAAGAGAGGAAGGGGAAAAGAAGAAGAAGGGGAAGGUUUAAUUUUAACUUUCCAAUUAUUAUCUAUCCCACAAACUUUUACACUGUAGCCAUUCCCUUCAAACGUCUGCAUAAACCUGUAAGUUAUAAUUUUAAUGAAAAUUGAUCUGAUGCACUUUAUGUGAUAAAGUGUGUUGCAGCUACAGGAAGUAUUGUUGAAAAAAACCCCAUGCUGUACUGUUUAGUGGGAAACAUGACACCAAUUAUUUUUUUCUGAGGGUUAUAGGCAGAUCCAAGUGACUGUCAAGAAGAAAACCUGAAGUCAAAGCAUGGGAGGAAGCAUUCCAAAGAAUAAAACACAGACUACAACAAUAACUAAAAGAUUGAUGUGGCCUUCCCAAACAAGUUUUGCCUGACAGUUCUGCUGAAGAUAUCUGAAGGAGUCAAUGGGCAUCCAGGAAGCUCUGGAUGUACAGUCUACUUGGACCCACACAAGGCAUUUGGCAGUCUUGAAGCAAGGACUACCAAAGAAACUGAGCUGCUUUGGAGAGAGAGGCAGUCUUCACAUGAAGGUAGCUAAAGAAUAGCUAAAGAUUUAGCAAGCAAGGGUAUUAAAAAUACCUGUUACUGCACUAGGGUCUCUUCUGUUCCAUAUGUUUCUAAACUAUCUGAUAAAAAGAGAAAUAUUGAGCUAAUGA